This 17721-nucleotide long non-coding RNA is filed under the name Triticum aestivum (bread wheat). RNAcentral describes it as "long non-coding RNA (TAES_LNC027917)". The record is from RNAcentral. Lineage: Eukaryota; Viridiplantae; Streptophyta; Magnoliopsida; Poales; Poaceae.
ACGUCUCCUUCACCAUAAACUUUGUCUGAGGGUGUUUGAUGUAUAUUAUUUUGUGACAUCAAUUCUUUCAUGGUAUGUCGGUUUCGGUUUAUACUUCGGUAGUAGAUGAUCCGCGCCGAUCAAUAAUGUAGUCUUUCAGAGAACCUUGAACGUAUCCUGGCACAAACUGGGACUUCUCUUUUUUUGUUCUGCUACGGUGUUGCAACUGUUUACUUCUUGUGCAGUGUUGUAUUACUGGGUACAUUAUUGUAAUUUUGAGUAACCAGGUUCCAUAAUAAUAAAAUCAUGGUGAAUAAGCUGGGUAGUAUAAACAGUUGUGCUGGUGGCUGGUGUGAGUUUGUUUGACAAGUACCCCCUCCGUUCCUAAAUAUAAGUCUUUGUAGAGAUUUCACUAUGAACCACAUACAGAUGUAUAUAGAUUCAUUCAUUUUGCUCCGUUUAUAGUCCAUAGUGAAAUCUCUACAAAGACUUAUAUUUAGGAACGGAGUGAGUAGAUAGCUUCUUUGCCCCUUGUUGGUUGUAAUGGGUAGUGGUUAGCUGAAAAAUCAAAUAUACAAAUUUGCUACUUCCAAAUUGAAACGUUCAAUAUGCUGGAAGCUGAGAUAGUAUUGAAGGAUCUGUUUUCUUCAUUACUUCCUUUCUUCUGAAAUACUACCUCUGUUUACAAAUGCUGCAAAAAUGUUUUACAUUUACGAACAGAGGAUGUAGUUGACAACUAUUCCUGCUAUUGUUGUCUUGGUCACAUUGAAGAUCAUGACAUAAAUAUGUCAACCACCAAUAUAAAAUGACAAAUUAAGUAAACAUUCAUACAAAAACCAAAGUCUUCUUUCACUAAAUUCUACUCCCUCUGUAGUGUCAAAAACUCUAUUAUAUUAUGGGAUUCAGGGAGUAUCUAACAAGAAGUUGCUUAUACAUGGAAAUACAUUUCGCUGAAAGGUAAUAAAAACGUACUUCAGCAAAAUUAGUCCAUACAUCUUAUGAUCCAAAAUAACCAUCUAAGCAAGCAAUGGGACCUUGCACAUUACACGGCAUAAGAAAUCCAAGUAGUUCUGAAUACUAUUGCACCAUUAAUGUGUAUGUCAUAGCAGGAUACAUAUAUUUUAUGAGACAACCGUGUGGCAUGCACAACUUCCACCGGCGGUACAAAGAUACAAUACGAUACAUCAGUAAGUUAUAAAUGGUAAAGUGUUUGACAAUACAAUAUAGCAAUAAGUUUUCCAGGCCCCUUAAUCUUGUAGCGGUAUCUUUGGUAGUUCUUGCUUAAUUCACACCCGUGGUCCGAACCAUUUUUGCCAAGUAACAACAGAAAUGACAUACAACCUGUCAUAUAGGUUGUCGAGUAGCCCAAAGUAAGCAUACCUCCAUUUCUUGAUGAAGAGAAGUCCGAAGAACACCAUCCAAGCGCCCACCACAAAACCAAUAAUUGAUCCAAGAAGACAAUCUAUUUGAGACAAGCCAUCUUCCGGCAACCUUGUUGGAUCUCCGUUGGUGGGCGGAUCCCUAGGUGGACCAGGACAUUGCAUUGGAACUGGAUGUCCACAAAGACCAGGAUUUCCAAUGUACAUAGAGGCCGGAUUAUCCGUAUUGAGGGUGUCGAGUUGAUGCCCUGUGGGUAUUCUUCCAGAUAGAUUAUUAUAUGACAAGUUUAAAUUGCUCAGGUAUGUCAAAUUUGAUAAGCUCCGAGGGAUUUCACCACCUAGUUUGUUCCUCGAGAAGUCAAGAGACUCCACUGAUUGAAGUUUGCCAAUAUUAUAUGGGAUAUUUCCACUCAACAAGUUUGAUGAUAAAUUCAAACUUAUGAGACCAACAAGGGAGCUUAGUUUCUCUGGGAUUUCUCCGGUCAAAUUGUUGCAAGACAAAUCAAUGCUCAUCAAAUAUACAAUAUUGCCCCCAUACUCAAGCUCUUGCCCUUUCAUCACCACCGUGAUGCUAACAUUAACCAUUCCUAUAUGAGCGGAACGAUACUCACCUUCGUAUGCUUCUUCGAAAGGAUUAUCAAUAGUUGUCUCAGUGCUACUCAAAGCUUUCAAGUUUUCUAUAUAUUGCGGUAUGGCCCCAGAAAAGUUAUUAUUGGACAAAUCGAGAAUCCGAACAUUGUGAAGUCCCAUGAUUUCAACUGGAAUGUGACCAUAAAAGUUGUUCGAUCUUAACCGUAGCAUAACCAAACCUGGCAUGGCUUCACUGAUCCACCCAGGCAACUCUCCGGUGAAUCUAUUUUGAGUUAGAUCGAGGAAACUAAGACUCGGACAUUGUCGUAGGAGCAAAGGAAAUCCACUUGAAAAACUGUUGUUGCUUAGAAGAAGAACCGUGAUAUUCAAACUGAAAGAACUCAGUGAAAUGAAUUUUGAAGAGUUAUUGCCAGAAGGGUUCUGAUGUUUCAACUCUUCUUGGCCACAAUCAGGAAGUCCCUUUGAAAGCAGAUUGUUUGAAAGAUCUAAGAUCCGCAACUUCCGCAAUCGACAAAUUGACGUUGGAAUAGUCCCGGAUAUAGCAUUGGAAAACAGAGCUGCAACUUGCAAAUUCUGAGCUCCUAAAUCUGCUACAAACCCAUUUAAGUAGUUCCUUGAUAUGUCCAAUACCUUAAUUGUGCUUGGUAACUUGGGUAUCAAACCUGUGAGUAGAUUUGACUGCAUUAAAAGUGUAGUCAUUGACAUGAACUCCAGAUUGAAUGAUAAGUCGCCGCUAAGUUGGUUCAAGGAGAUAUCCAACCAUGUAGCUUCAGAAAAGGUAGUCCAAAACCAAUCUGGGACCCUAUCAACUAGACCUGUGUUUGGAAUAAUAAGUUCACGGAUGCUCUUCUGCCAUUGAAGCCAUUUAGGAAACUUGGGACCCAAAUUACAAUAUGAUAACCAUGCUGAUUCCAAGUUGAACGGAGGUACCCAAUGCGAGUCAACAAUAACUUCCAAAUAAUUCUCAGAUAAGUCAAUGUACUUCAAAUUCAUCAAACCAACAAAAUGAUCUUCUGUCAUCACACCACUCAAGUUGUUGAACGAAAGGUCUAAGUAAGUCAAUUUUGUAAGCUUGCCAAUCUCCACGGGCACCGAACCGCUCAAGUUGUUUUGCUGAAGGUCUAAGUAAGUUAAAUUUGCAAGCGCACCAAUCUCCACGGGCAUUGAACCGCUCAAUUGGUUGUGACUGACUUCAAGCAUGUUUAAGCUGGUUAGGUUUGACACAAAUUGUAAUGUUGUGCCAAUGAUGUUGGCACUCUCUAGAAUCAACUGUUGCAAAUUCUUCCAAGAGCAGUUGGGUAUCGAGUGUAUCACCUCUUUCAUGUCCGUGCUGAUGUUGUUCAUGCUGAGAUCUAGAGACCUUAGAUUACACAUUUUUUUCAGUGCUCCUGGUAUCAUCCCAUCAACAUUGUUGAGUCCAAAGGCAAAGUUCUCUAACAAGGUCAAGUUUCCUAGAUUGUUAGCAAACGUGCCUGAUAAUCCACAUUCCACCAACCUUAGGCUCCUGAGGCUAGUUACAUUCCAUAACCAGUUGGGUGUAUCUGGACUGCUGAAUUGGUUACCAGUGAGGUCAACCACUUCAAGAACUGUAAGGUUGUGGUGUACAAACGAUGAUGGAACAUUACUAUUAGUAAGGCCACAUUGAAACAGAAUCAGUACAGCCAAAUUAGGAAGUGUCCCGACCGUAUGGACCCAGUCAACGACUUCAGGGAGGCCGACCGAGCCCAUGUUAAGAUGCUCUAAUGAUCGGAGACGGGCUAACCAAGAUAUAUCCUUUGAGUAUUGAUAAUCACCAAAAAUACUGCCUUGUAUGUCAAGCUGUAUUAGGUUGGAGAGGUUGCCUAGCUGAGGAGGCACUGGACCAUGAAAAUCCAUGUUGGAGAGGUUGAGAUAAGUCAAACUCUGGAGAGAGCCCAAGAACCCCGGCAUAGCCUUUGCAUCUCCAAGGAGAUAGUUCUGGCUAAGGUCAAGAUACUUGAGGCGUCGGAGAGCAAGCAAAGAAGGAGAUAACUGACCACGCAGUGAGUGGUUCUCAGGGUCAUCAUCAGAUAAAUAAUACACUUCUGGAAUAUCUUGAUGGAGGUCGAGCUUGAUGACGUGGCCUGUCCGGCGGCUGCAGGUGACGCCGCUCCACCGGCAACAGUCAUGUGCACCUUGCUGCCAUGAGAUGAGGCGAUUGUCCGGAUCGCCUGUGAGGCCGGCCUUGAAGGAGAGCAGCGCGACCCUCUCGGCCGGGAUGCAGCCUCCGUUUGAUGUUCCGCUCGCGUUGAUAGCGACGGAGGAGGAGGAGGUGGUGGUGCUGGCUGUAGCUAGGACGAUGGUUAGCAAGAGGAAGCUUGUUGCAGCCAUUUCUUUGCUCCGGGCUCGGCUGGAAGGGACGCCGAACGGAAACAUGGUGGUCAUGGGCAUGGCAAGUGUGUGUCCAAGAAGAAAACUGCAGUGCCGUGUCUUGAAGGGGAUACGGGCUACCACAACUUUGGGUUGGGUGAUACCCCUUUUGGGCCAAUCAGUUAGAGCAUGGUGGACUCAUGGUAGGGUUUCCACCGGAUGAAGAGUCAAAUCAAAGUAGAAAAGAUUGGCCGGGUGCCGUGUCUUGUAGGGGAUACGGGCUACCACAACUUUGGAUGAGUGACUGACACACACACACACGCACACUAUGCUGGGCCAAUCAGCUGCAGCUGUGGCUGUCACUCCAUCACCCUCCUAUUGACCGGGAAGGCCUAAGCGUUCAUGUUUCAAACCAAUCAAAUACUACUAAGUUAGUGGAUGACUUCAUCGAAGACCUAUAUGUUGCAAUCAAAUCGAACUAAUUCUCAACCUAUUUGAACCAACACGUCAGAUUGUUAGAAGUAGGACAUGAUAGAUAGAUGGUUUGGAAGACAAUUCAGAUGCCAUUCUGACUCCUCAAAAAUAAUAAAAAGGGCAGGGGUGCCCCGAAAGAAUGAACGUAACAUGUGAGGUGGAGUCAUUGGGCCAGCGGAAGGGGGAGGAGGAGCGGCUGGCGCCGGAACACUGCCAUGUCAGCAAGGACCCAGCCUGCCUGUCUCUCAAUAUUUUGACACCUGAGCUCUAAUUCAGUUAAGUUUGAAUCAUUUGGCCGGCGGAGGCACUCUAGCCGCGCGUCCCAACCCUAGCUUGGGAAAUCCCGGCGUAGCCAACACAGGAACCCUAGUGCAGCGCUGUACGUGACCCAACUCCGCUCGCGAGCCAAAGUCUCGUAACGCAAGCGUCGAUCGGUUCGCCUCAUUGGCUUGGGUCGCUUCCUGGGCCACAUGCCCAGGUUCUGUUGCGCCCAAGUCCACACCCAUCAAGUCAGGCCCAUCUUGGCCCAACAAAGAUUUCAAACGAGCAGCCCUGGCCGCCCGGAUCUCACUGAGAUCCAACGCCGGCGCCGGCGCCGCCAUCUGCCGAUUCUUCUUCCGGCGAUCUUUAACGACCCAAAAAAUCACCAAGAGUAAGAGAUGGAAGACGUACCUUAGGUAAAGGUCCCUUCCAUGGCCUGAUCGCCGUCGCCGCCGUCCUCCGGUGAACGACUCGCCGGAUCAUCUCCUUCUUCUCCCCGGCGUGUAAACCUAUCCUUGCCGGAUCAUCAAGAGGCAGCACCUUGUCUAUAGUCGAUGCCACCUCCUCCUCAUCGUAGCCUGAAUGAAAAAAUUCGCAAAUUAGAUCAGAAGGCGUCGGCGAUGGAGGAGACUCCGGCGAGUCCGCGUCCCUCUCCCCAUCCGAAUCGUCUGCGUCGUCAUCAGCGAGCGCCGAGAAACGGCCCCCGAUUUUGUUUUAGAACGAAGGCUCAAGAAGAGCCCGGCUUUGAAUUAACAAAGCCAUCAACCGACCAGGAUUACAAGAUCACCAACUAGCAAGAAAAGCAAGAAAAGAAACAAGCGGCUGAUACAAGGAGCAGAGCGAAACAGACUAAAAGGCAGCAGCGAUAGCAAGCAUGCCAUGCUGCCGCCAUCACCCUACAGGACGACCUACACCAACCGGACAAGCUACGGACUUGAGAGGAUGCACCACCGCGCAAGCUUCGUGAUCGUAGCCAAACUCGAAGGCAGCAAUGGGCAGACACUCCUCUGGAACUGCCGCUGCAAAGGGCCCCUGCCCUCUCAUCCUGGCUCGAAGGAUGCCGCACCGGCAGGCAGCAGCUCGGUUCACCCUAGAACCCAGAGGAAGACGUCCAAGAUGCGCAUGAAGAAGGAACUAGGAGCAGACCUGCUAGCUCAGAGCACACCAUCCCGAGCACCGUCGUCGUCCGCGGUUAAGCCACACCGAGGGGCUAGAGCUAUCGGCCACAGUCGCAGCAACAAGGGUAACAACGAAGAACCACCGAAGAAAAGGCAGUGAAGCGCCGAGCCAAGCUGCCACCCGCCAUCACCACACCCACAACCCGACUCUCUCGCCGCCCCUAUGAUCCCUGGACUGUGCCUCCAAGAAGGAACACGACAUGGAUGUGUCGUCGCCGCCCGAAUCAUGGGACCUAGGCUUUCACCUAGUAGGGGACGGAAGGAGGGGGAGAAGGAUCCUCACCACAACCUCGAGGGAGUGGUACGGCGCCCAGGGCGUCGCCUACGGUGUGGCUGCGCCGGCCAGGGGUUUCCCCCGGAUCCAGCCCCCCUCGACGAGAUCCGCGCUGCCGGCGCCCGGGAAGAACGGCCUAAGCCACUGGGACCCGGAUCCGGCGAUGGAAGGAGCGGAUCGGGGCGGAGAGGAUGAGAUGCAUCUGGUGGCGGCAACCGCGCGGGGGAAGCCACACACCAGCGACCGUGGACCGACGCCUCCUCGUCCCCCGCGAGACCGAGGGAGGCACCUCAUGUCUGAUCCCCCUUGUGUUUGCAUCAGUCUGUUGUCCUAGCACCAUCUACAAAGAGCGAGAAGAAAGUAAGGAACAUCUUGGAAGGGCUAUGCGGCAAUGCUAACAGGUAAAUUCCAUGCCUAGGCUGCAGUCUGUUGGCCUUGUUACUCGCAGCCUUCUCUUUGUCUUUCGCUAACCGAACCUUCAAAUUGCAGCAGCUACUGGAGAUCCGAAGACGACGUGGGCAUGGCUGCUGGCCUGGGAGGCGAGACAGAGUCCCACCCUUAUGUCUCCUUCACCAUAAACUUUGUCUGAGGGUGUUUGAUGUAUAUUAUUUUGUGACACCAAUUCUUUCAUGGUAUGUCGGUUUCGGUUUAUACUUCUAUAGUAGAUUAUUCGUGCCGACCAAUAAUGUAGUGUUUCGGAGAACCUCGAACGUAUCCUGGCACAAAGUGGGACUUCACUUUUUUUGUUCUGCUACGGUAUUGCAACUGUUUACUUCUUGUGCAGUGUUGUAUUACUGGGUACAUUAUUGUAAUUUUGAGUAACCAGAAUCUAUAAUAAUAAAAUCAAGGUGAAUAAGCUGGGUAAUAUAAACAUAUGUUGUUCACUGGUGUGAAUUUGUUUGACAAGUAGAUGACCUCUUUGCCCCCUUGUUGGUUGUUAAGUGUAUUGGUCAGCCAAAAAAUUAAAUACACAAAUUUGCAUAAUUCCAAAUUGAAACGUUCAAUAGGAGAUUGUAUUGAAGUAGUGUUCUCUUCAUUACUUCCUUGCCUGUUGCCUCUGAAAUACUAGUUGAUAACUGUUUUGCCUCUUAUCAUUGAUGAUCACCAAUACAAAAGUGACAUUUAGAAAACGUUCAUACAAGUUUUGUUUUCAUUGAAUUCUACUCCCUCCCUAAAGAAAUAUAAGAGCGUUUAGAUCACUUCUUUAGUGAUCUAAAUGCUGUUACAUUUCAGUGAUCUAAAUGCUUUUAUUCUUAGCAGAGGGAGUAUCUAACAAGUUGCUCAUGCAUGGAAAUACAUUUUUCCGAAAGGUAAUAAUAACGUACUUCAGCAAAAUCCGAAAUAACCAUCUAAGCAAGCAAUGGGACCUUGCCACAUUACGUGGCAUAAGAAAUCCAAGUAGUUCUGAAAAAUAUUACACUAUUAAUGGGUAUGGCAUAUCAGGAUACAUUUAUUUUAUGAGACAAAACCUUGUGGCAUGCACAACUACCACCGAUGGUUCAAAGAUACAAUACAAUAUAUCAAUAAGUUAUAAAUGGUAAAGUGUUUGACAAUACAAUAUAGCAACAAGUUACUCCAGGCUCCUUAAUCUUGUAGCGGUAUCUUUGGUAGUUCUUGCUUAAUUCACACCCGUGGUCCGAACCAUUUUUGCCAAGUAAUAACAGAAAUGACAUACAACCUGUCAUAUAGCUUGUCGAGUAGCCUGAAAUAAGCAUACCUCCAUCUCUUCUUGAAGAGAAGUCCACAAAACACCAUCCAAGAGCCCGCCACAAAACCAAUAAUUAAUCCAAGAAGAAAAUCCAUUUGAGACAAGCCAUCAUCCAACCAUCUUGCUGAAUCUCCGAUGGUCGAUGGAUCUUUAAGAGGACCAGGGCAUUGCAUCGGAAUUAGAUGUCCACAUAGGCCAGGGUUACCAAUGUACAUAGAAGUUGGAUCAUCUGCCUUGAGGAUGUCGAGUUGAUGCCCCGACGGUAUUUUUCCUGACAGAUCAUUAUAUGACAAGUUUAGAUAGCUGAGGUAUGUCAAAUCAGACAUUGUUUGGCGGAUCUCUAGGCGGACCAGGACAUUGCAUUGGAACUGGAUGUCCACAAAGACCAGGAUUUCUAAGGUACAUAGAGGCCGGAUCACCUGUAUUGAGGGUGUCCAGUUGAUGCCCUGAGGGUAUCCUUCCAGACAGAUUAUUGUAUGACAAGUUUAAAUAGCUCAGGUAUGUCAAAUCCGAUAAGCCCCGAGGAAUUUCACCAACAAGUUUGUUCUUUGACAGGUCAAGAGACUCCAGCGAUCGAAGCUUGCCAAUCUUAAAUGGGAUAUUACCACUCAACAAGUUUGAUGAUAAGUUCAAAUUUACGAGCCUGGCAAGCGAGCUUAGUUCCUCUGGGAUUUCUCCUGUUAAACGGUUGCAAGAUAAAUCAAUGCUCAUCAAAUAUAUAGUAUUCUCCUUGUACUCAAGUACUUGCCCUUUUAUCACCACCGAGAAGCUAUCACUAGACUGUCCCUUAUAAACCCAUGUGGCAUCAUGAUAUCCUUCGUCGAAAGGAUUAUCAAAUGAUGUAUUAUUAGCGGUAGUAGUGCCAAUCAGAGCAUUCAAGUCUUCUACAUACUGCGGUAUGGCCCCAGAAAAGUUAUUAUUGGAGAGAUCUAGAAUACGAACAUCAUGGAGUCGCAUUAUUUCGAUUGGAAUCUGACCACAAAAAUUGUUCGAUCUUAAGCGCAGCAUAACCAAACUAGGCAUGGCUUCACUAAUCCAUCCCGGUAACUCUCCUGUGAAUUUGUUGUGAGUUAGAUCCAGGAAAAUAAGACUUGGACAUUGUCGUAGGAACAAAGGAAAUCCACUUGAAAAAUUGUUGUUGCUUAGAAGAAGACUAGUGAUUUUCAAACUGAAUGAACUUGUUGAAUUGAAUCUUGAAGUGUUGUUGCCAGGUGGGCUCCACCGUUUCAGCUCUUUUCGACCACACUCAGGAAGUUCGUUUGAAAGCAGAUUGUUCGAAAGAUCUAAGGCCCGUAAAUUUUGCAAUCGACAAAUUGACGUCGGAAUAGUCCCGGAUAUAUAAUUGGAAAACAAAACUGCAACCUUCAGUUGCGGAGCUCGGAAAUUUGGUACAAACCCAUUUAAGGAGUUUCUGGAUAUGUCCAAUACCUCAAUUGUUCUUGGUAACUUGGGUAUCAAACCAGUAAGUAGAUUGGACUGCAUUGAAAGUCUAGUCACUGACAUGAACUCCAGAUUGAGUGGUAAGUCGCCGCUAAGUUGGUUCAAGGAGAUGUCCAAUGCCGCGGUAUGGGAAAAGGUAGUCCAAAACCAAUCUGGGAUCCUCCCAACUAGACCGGUGUUUGAAACAGAAAGGAGAAUGCCAUUUAGGAAAUUUGGGACCCAAAUGACAAGAUGUAAGCCAUGCCCUUUCCAAGUUGAACAGAGGCACCCAAUGUGAAUCAGUAAUGAAUUCCAAAUUAUUAUUAGAUAAGUCAAUGUACUUCAAAUUCAUUAAACCAACAAAGUGAUCUUCUGAUAUCUCGCCACUGAAAUUGUUGUCACUAAGGUCUAAGUUCGUUAAACUUGUAAGUGCGCCAACCUCCAUAGGCAACUCACCGCUCAACGUGUUGUUUGCAAGGUUUAAGUAAGUCAAAUUUGUAAGCAGACCAAUCUCCAUAGGCACUGAACCGCUCAGCAGGUUGCCACCGACAUCAAGCAUAGUUAAGCUAGUCAGUUUUGACACAAACUGUAAUGUGCUGCCAGUGAUGUUGGCAUGCCUCAAACUCAGCUCUUGCAAGUUCUCCAAAGAACAGUCCGGUAACCUGUCUAUCACCUCUGUAAUGUCUGCAUCAACAUUGUUGUUGCUGAGAUCCAGAAAUCUUAGAUUACAGACACUUCGGAGUGUUGUUGGUAUCAUGCCCUUGAUGUGGUUAUCUGAAAUGUCCAAGGUCUCUAGCAAGGUCAAGUUUCCCAACUCGCCGGGAAAAGUUCCUGAUAGUCCACAAGACCACAACUCGCUAGGCGUAGGCUCUUGAGGCUAGUUACACCCCAGAACCAAUUGGGUGCAGCAGGGCUGUUUAAAGAGUUAUAUGAGAGGUCAAGCUCUUCCAGAAGUGUAAGGUUGUGGUGUAGAAGUGAUGAAGGAGCAUUACUCUUAGUAAGGUUGCAUGACCUGAGAAUCACUACAACCAAACUAGGAAGGGUGCUGACUGUAUGGACCCAGUCAACUACUCCACUGAGGUCGAUGAAGCCCAUGUUAAGAUGCUCCAGCGAGCGAAGACGCGCUACCCAAUGUAUAUCUUGUGAAUAUAGAUUGUGUGGUAAUGAGUAAUGACCCUCUAUGUCAAGUUGUACCAGUUUGGAGAGAUUGCCUAGCUGAGGAGGCACUUUACCACGAAAGCCCAUGUUGGAGAGGUUGAGAUAAGUCAAACUCGGGAUAGCGCCUAGGAAUCUCGGCAUAGCCAUUGCAUCUCCAAGAAGAAUAUUCCAGCUUAAGUCGAGAUGCUCCAGACGUCGGAGAGCAAGAAGUGAAGAAGAUACCUGUCCUUGCAGCGAGUGGUCUUCAGGGUGAUCAGCACCAGAUACAAAAUCCAAAUAUGUAAUUUGAUCAUCAUAGUGGAGGUCGAGCUUGACGACGUGGCCUGUCUGUCGGCUGCAGGUGACGCCGCUCCAGCAGCAGCAGUCUGUUAGGCAAUAAGCCACGGCGAGGCGUCGAACGAGCCGGGCGCGGGUAUGGGCGCGCGCCGGGCGAGUUGGACGCGUCGGGACCGUGGCGAGUAGGGCGUGCGUGCGCGUAGGUCCAGCACGGGCGUGUCCGUGCGGACGGGCGCAGUGUGUGUGCGUGUGACCGCAGGCCGUUGGCGAGCUCACUACCGGAAUAAUGUUAUAUGCCUACGGCCUUAUCUAUGCCGACGGCUGCCGUAGGCAUAGAUGGAGCUAUGCCGACGGCCUGGGGAAUACCGUCGGCGCAGAAAAGCCGUCGGCAUAGCUCCAUUUAUGCCUACGGCAGCCGUAGGCAUAGUAAGGCUAUCGGCAUAUAUCGAUCUAUGUCUACGACAGCCGUAGGCAUAGUUACGCCGUGGGCAUAGAGGUGGCCCUCGUGGCCCAGGGACAGACGGCGGGCUGACACCGUCAAAUCUAUGCCGACGGCCCGGACGGCGGCCGUCGGCAUAAAUAUCAUCUGUUUUUUUUAUUAGGAGCUGCCACGUGGCAGAGCUAUGCCGACGGCAAAGCCGUAGGCAUAGUUUUCCAUCUAUGCCUAUGGCAAGGCCGUAGGCAUAGCCUCGCCACAUGGCGCCUCCUGGUAGCCCCUAGCCAAGAACUAUGCCUACGGCUAUGCCGUAGGCAUAGAUAUCAUUUGUUUUUUUAAAUUAUUUUUAUGUUUUUAAAAGUUAAAAAUUGAAUAAUUUAAAUCUAACUUAUCUAAACUUAAACAUACACAAAUUAUACAUCGACUUGGGGUAGAAUUUUCCAUAGAUUAUGAAUAUACAGUUUUUUUUGUUUUUGAGUAUGUUAGAAAUGUGACCUCAUGUACUUUUUCAUAUAGGUCCUUAUAGUUUGUUAAAAUCAUAAGUAAUUGAUACUUGGAUCGAUUUUGACAAAUUUUAUAUGGUUUUUUAUCAGAAUCUUGAAAGGAUUAUGUUGCUAUACUAUUUUUCAAAUUUGAACAAACUUAAAUCAUGUUUGCUUCAAAUUUACAGAAAACACCCUUUUGUUUUGAAUUUUUUGUAUAUUUUUCAUACCUUGGCCAAUCAAGACAAAUUUUAUAUCUACAUCCAUCUGAUUGUUUCAAGGAUUGUGGUGGCAGGCGCAAACACCCGGCAACCGGCUCCGGAGUGUGACUCCUUCAUGGAUGGCGAUGCCGUCGACACUUGGAAGGGGAAAACGGCCACGUUGGGUCGAGACGGAGGGAAUCUUAUGGUGGGUUUGGCCCAAACCUUGUUCUCAAGUGUUCCUAUGGGCUGACCUAUCAUAACCAGGUGAAAACGUCUGUUGGUCAAAUCCCGUAUGACAAAAGUCAAAGGCGUAGAUCUCCAGGUCAAUUGGUCCAGGGUUAGGCCGGUUGGGGGCCUUCGGGGGGUAGCAAUGCCACCAGAGCAUUGCGUCGGGUCCUCAUACAUGUCUUAAGGUGUGGUGGCAUGUCNNNNNNNNNNNNNNNNNNNNNNNNNNNNNNNNNNNNNNNNNNNNNNNNNNNNNNNNNNNNNNNNNNNNNNNNNNNNNNNNNNNNNNNNNNNNNNNNNNNNNNNNNNNNNNNNNNNNNNNNNNNNNNNNNNNNNNNNNNNNNNNNNNNNNNNNNNNNNNNNNNNNNNNNNNNNNNNNNNNNNNNNNNNNNNNNNNNNNNNNNNNNNNNNNNNNNNNNNNNNNNNNNNNNNNNNNNNNNNNNNNNNNNNNNNNNNNNNNNNNNNNNNNNNNNNNNNNNNNNNNNNNNNNNNNNNNNNNNNNNNNNNNNNNNNNNNNNNNNNNNNNNNNNNNNNNNNNNNNNNNCGGACGACAAUGAAAUCGAAGUAAUCCCUCGACGGUUUUGGCGUUGCAUGAAUAUUUCUGAACACUCGGAGCGUGAUAAAUUCAUGAAAUUUUUACACAGUGCAGACACAUGUGAUAUAAUAGGCAUUGCAAUUUCUUAUAUUUUUUAAAGAUGCAAGAGUAUGUGAAAAAAAACCACUACAGAUUGUUCUUCGCGUGUCUACGAGUGUGGCCAGGGGCCUUCGGGGGCUAGUUAUGCCACCAAAUCUUGCAUUGGGUCCUCUUACAUGUCUGGAAGUGUGGUGUCAGGUGCAAACACCUGUCAUGUGGCUCCGGAAAUGUGACCCCCUUCACGGAAGGCGCUGCCGCCGGCACUUGGAGGGAGGAAACGGUCGCGUCAGGUCGACACGAGGGGGAUCCGGUGGUGGGUUGGGCCCAGUCGGGGGCCUUCGGGGGUAGCAAUGCCACCAAAACUUGCAUUGUGUCUUAAUAUAUGUAUACAAGUGUGAUUAAGUGUUGAAAUAGCCAACGGAGCAACGGGCAACACACUUCCUUCACAAAACCGGACACGUUCUCUCUCGAUAAUCAGAUACUACCUUGGAGAUGGUGUAGUUUACAAGUGGCCUCCUGUGAGGCUUCUACGAAACAUGCUCAAACUUUUACCACACCCUACAAGGGCCAUAUGACUACACCAUGCCAGGUCCCGAGGAUUUUUGGCAUCGUAUGAUUUCCCAUGGAUUUUAACGGCUAGAUCUGGCAUGCCCCGAGUUACAUUCACCCUGCGGUGGUGGGGCCUCCCCCUCCUUUGGUUGCACUAGGCCUACACAUACCGCAAAGACAUCAUAUGUGAUUUAACAAACCACUUCUGGACAUCAUUUCAGGUGGUCGCCAAGCAGAUCUGCAAUUUCUCGCAUUGAAACCCUACGGAUGCAAUAAAUAUCUCAAAUAUUGCAGGUGGCCCAGAAAAAUGCCAUGUCCUGGCACGUGUCAUGCAAUGGCCCCCUUUGAGAGCACGGGAAGUUUCAAGGUCAACGAAGCAACUGGCAUCACACCUCCUUCACAAACUAAACACGUUCUCUCUCGAUAGCCAGAUACUACCUCGGAGAUGGAGCAGUUUACAAGCGACCUCCGGACAGGCUUCUGCGAAACAGGCUCAAACUUUCACCACACUCCACAAGGGCCAUAUGACGACACCGUGCCAGGUCCCGAGGAUUUUCAGCAUCGUAUGAUUUUUGUUUGAUUUUUUGGAUCCGGCACGCCGUCGAUGUACAUUUGCGUCCCGGUGGUGGGGCAUGCCCCUCCUUGGGUUGCACUAGUCCUACACAUACCGCAAAGACAUCAUAUAUGAUUUGAUGAACCACUUCUGGACAUCAUUUCAGGUGGCCGCCGUGCAGAUCGGCAAUUUCCCGCAUUGAAACCCUACAGAUGCAGUAAAUGUCUCAAAUAUUGCAAGUGGGCCCGAAAAAUGCCAUGUACUGUCACGUGUCAUGCAAUGGCCCCCUUUGAGAGCACGAGAAGUUUUGAGGUCAAUAGAGCAACGGGCUUCCAACCGGGCACGUUCUCUCUGAGAUGGUGCAGUUUACAAGCGACCUCAGGUUAGGUUUCUGCGAAAUGCGCUAAAACUUUCACCACACCCUACAAGGGCCAUAUGACGACACCGUGCCAGGUCCCAAGGAUUUCCGGCAUCGUAUGGUUUGCCGUGGAUUUUAACGGCUAGAUCCGGCAUGCCUCCGACAUACAUUCGCCCCCCCGGUGGUGGGGCCUGCUCCUCCUUUGGUUGGACGAUACCUACACAUUCUCCCCCGGUGGUGGGGCCUGUAGCUGCGCGACGCACGGGACAACGUCGGCGCAGACGGGGGCACCCCUGCCGCCCUCCGCCAAGAUCCCCUGCAGGCCAGCACCUCCGGCCCGCCCCCAUGAGCAGUGGGCAGAGCCACCAGAUCGGAACAACGGGUGCCCCAACCAGUCGAGACCCGUACCUGUAUCAGCCAUGAAGGAAGAUGCCUCACCCGAGCCUGAUGCAGACAAACCGCCGCCGGAGAGACUGUAGGCAAAAUGAGUUUAUCAAUUUUUUAAUUCUAAAAAAAUCAAUUUUUUUGGAAAAAACAUGAAAUUUGGCAGAAUAUUGGUUUGUGAUUCGUAGAGGGUGUGGAAAAAGUUUGAAAAGAUUUCAUAAAAAACUCUAAUAAAUCUAGCAAAACAAAUACGUAAAGAAGCACACAAAAAUGAAGACUUCCUAUUGGGUGACCACCCGGUCACGCGGAUCGGUGACGUGGAUGGCUGGCCCCACGCUCCUCUGCACCUCCAAAAAGAAAAGAAGAAAAAGAAAACGCACACACACACGAUACAAAAUCAAAUGAAAUUUUGGGCCUUCCCGCGCCACUCAGCCCGCUUCCCUCCCACCCACCAAAAUUUUUUAAAAAAGGAAAAGAAGCGAGAGAGAGCCCACCCAAGACCCAACAGAGCCGCACCACUCCCCACCUCGACCUCUCUCUCUCCCCGCGACCCUUCUUCGCUGCCGCCACCCACGCCGGUGAUUCCGGCAGCUUCCGGCGAUUCCGGCUGCUGCCGACGACGCCAAGCACACUCGCAUGAUCGCCUCCGUCCGCUCCGUCUUCCCUUCCGAGCAGAUUCGUCGCUCGCGUCCUCUACCGGUCACCCGCGACCGUCCCCUAAGCUAGGGUUUCGGCCACCGCAUCGCCGGCGUGGCUCCGGCGGCUCAGGUACAUCUCUCCGUCGAGAUCCCUCGCAACCCACCCUCUCUUACUCACCUGUAUCCUCUCCCUCCCAGAUCGAGCACGCCAAUGUCGCCGUCGUUUCGCUUGCGCUGGAACAGCAAAGGGAAGGCCAUGGACGACGCCGCUCCAGCCCUUCUCCGACGCCAUCAAGGUCAGCCCCUCCCUCUCCUAUUCGAUCUGUUCCCCUACCCUUCCCUGAUGUGCCUACCUUCCUCACCCACACGCAGCAGUAGCAGCAACUCGAUGCAGGGACGAGGGAGAGGAGGAGUCCUGCUUCCCCGGCGUGCAUCCUCUCUCUCGGAACGACACCCAACCUCAAGCGAGAGGUUUUCCUUCCCCUCCAUGACUCCCUUGUCCUCCUCGAUUUCCUAGGCUUGCUCUCAAUUUGCUGCUGCUCUGCUCAGCUCUGCAUUUUUUACUUAUACACAUGCUUGACUGAAUUUUGAACGGGUGCUACUGCUGUCACACUCCACUGCUGGGUCCUCCUAGGCUUGGUGCAGAUUUUAGAUGCAGAUUGCUAGGUGCAGAUUUUAGAUGUUCUUGUCACCACUGCUGCUAGUCACUGCUUGUCUGCUUGUGUUAAUUUAUAUGUCAUUGUGACGAGUUGAGAUGUUCUGGAAACUUUGAUGUCUACCUAGUCGACUUAUUAGAUAUGACGGAAGAUGCAAGUGGAGAUUUGCAUCAAAAAUUGCUUGUGAAGAUAUGAUUGCUGAUUUCAAAAGUAGGAAGAAUAGAAGAGCAUAUCUCUAGUUGGCAGUAGUGCUAGUUGGUUAUGUUUAGUUGUCUUUUGGUCAUUUGGUGUGGUCUGUUCUUUUGGAACACCAAAAUUUACCUAUCCACAAUGCUCAGGUAUGUGUGAACCUGCUGUAUUGUGUUAUUUAUGAUGAUAUGGUCGUCUAAUUGUCCUUGGCUCCUUGCAUAUGUUCUACGUACAACUUAGCGGAGUUUUUAAUGCAUAUUGUGUGUUCUUAUAUAAAGUCGGCCCCCUCUUGAGAUUUGGUCACGCUCCGCCACUGCUCCUAGCUAGCUAGCUCUCAGUUUGGAUUGCCCUUGUUGGUUGCUGCAACCAGGCUAGGCGUAUCUUGCAUAAUAUCGAUCGAUUGAAACUUGUUUGCAUAUAUUGUAAAUUUGCAUGACUAGUGAACUAGCCCUGUACGUAUUUUUUUAUAGCACUGAAGUUUGUGUUUGUGCUAAAUGGAACACCUGAUGCACUUGUCUUGGUACUGCUUUUGUUGCUGUGACGGUGUGAUGUUCAAACAGUUAAUGCCACUCAUCCAUUGAUGAACUAGAGUCCAUCUCCGGUUUGAAUUGACUCUGCUUUUAAGUAUAUUUUGCUUGCUACCCCAAAAAUGUAGUAGAAUUUAGCUUAUGAAUUGGUCUGGUUGGAUUUCUCAAGUUAUCUCAAGAUGCUACAAAAUAAAUGGUUGUUGUCUCUGCCUUUGAUGUUUGAUUUGAUUUGAUUCGGUUUCCUCACGCCUCUCUGUUUGCUCUGUUCGUGCUGCUGCCGGAUCCAGGAAGGUCUUUGAGAACCUAAACGUUCUUUUUUUUAUUGAUAGAUGCAUGUGUGGGUGGCAGCAGAUCAACCUCCUUCUCAACCCAUGUGUAAGCCCAGCCCCUGAGAUACUCACCUUCUCAAACCCAAUUUUUUUGUCUAUCUUGUUCCUUGACAAACAAAUUUUUUUAGGCCAAAACUUUUUGUUCCAUUACUACCAUCUUGCUGCUCUCGAUAUCCAUGCCCUAAUUCAUACCUGAUCCAUUCUUAGAUGGUAGUAAGUAAACAUGACAUGUGGUAGAAAACAUAUUAAGCCACCAUUACGUGUGAAUUACACCGGCUCAUGUCAGCGUAUGUAGUUUGGAUGAAUUUUUUUUAUGCAACAAAUGCAUCAACUGUGACAGAACCAUUCAUGAUUAAUUCUGUCCUGUGCAAAAUGUAGUGCUAGUUCUGUAGUUCGUCAUAUGUAUAUAUGUGCUCUACAGUUUUAGUUCUUCUUCUUGUGUUGCUGCACUUGGUCUAGAGAUACAACAACAUUAGUUAGGUCCGGAUGGAUCAACACAUACAACUAGCAGUGCUAGUAACAAAAAAAAAACA